UAGGGAAUAUUAGUAAUGGGCGAAAGCCUGAACUAGCAACACCGCGUGUGCGAAGAAGGCCUUCGGGUUGUAAAGCACUUUUUGAGAGGAUGAGGAAGGACGGUACUCUCAGAAUAAGUCUCGGCUAACUACGUGCCAGCAGCCGCGGUAACACGUAGGAGGCAAACGUUAUCCGGAUUUACUGGGCGUAAAGCGCGUGUAGGUGGUUUGGUAAGUAGAGCGUGAAAGCUCCUGGCUCAACUGGGAGAGGUCGUUCUAAACUGCCGGACUAGAGGAUGGUAGAGGGAGGUGGAAUUCCGGGUGUAGCGGUGGAAUGCGCAGAUAUCCGGAGGAACACCAGUGGCGAAAGCGGCCUCCUGGACCAUGCCUGACACUCAGGCGUGAAAGCUAGGGUAACAAACG
RNAcentral lists this ribosomal RNA (402 nucleotides) under uncultured prokaryote. Its description in RNAcentral is "bacterial SSU rRNA". It matches the Rfam family "Bacterial small subunit ribosomal RNA", at positions 355 to 774 of the family's 1533-position model. The record is from RNAcentral.